GACGAACGCUGGCGGCGUGCUUAACACAUGCCAGUCGAACGGAAAGGCCCUGCUUGCAGGGUACUCGAGUGGCGAACGGGUGAGUAACACGUGGGUGAUCUGCCCUGCACUUCGGGAUAAGCCUGGGAAACUGGGUCUAAUACCGGAUAGGAGCCAUUUUUAGUGUGAUGGUUGGAAAGUUUUUUCGGUGUAGGAUGAGCUCGCGGCCUAUCAGCUUGUUGGUGGGGUAAUGGCCUACCAAGGCGGCGACGGGUAGCCGGCCUGAGAGGGUGGACGGCCACAUUGGGAAUGAGAUACGGCCCAGACUCGUACGGGAGGCAGCAGGGGGGAAUAUUGCACAAUGGGCGCAAGCCUGAUGCAGCGCCGCCGCGUGGGGGAUAACGGCCUUCGGGUUUUAAACUCCUUUCGCUAGGGACGAAGCUUUUUGUGGAGGUACCUAGAUAAGAAGCCCCGGCUACCUACGG
RNAcentral lists this ribosomal RNA (464 nucleotides) under uncultured bacterium. RNAcentral describes it as "partial 16S ribosomal RNA". It matches the Rfam family "Bacterial small subunit ribosomal RNA", at positions 28 to 506 of the family's 1533-position model. The record is from RNAcentral.